CAACCAUGGAUGGUUCUUCCAAGGCGGCUGGAAUCGGAAGCGGGCCGGAAUCGUCUGAUUAUGGAGUAAAACAUUCCUGCAGCAGUUAAUUCCUCACGGAGACCAUGGGCCUGGUGUUUGGACCUUGAGGGUGGAGCUUUGCUUGGAGGACGGUGGAUCUCCUCUGUUGCCGCACCGCAUCAGAGCAGAGGAAAUUAAGUGACACCUUUCUUCUUCCUGUGAGACUACUGGGCGGAGCCCUAGUGCCCCCUAUGGACGAGGAGCCGCUGCUGACCCUGACGACCCCUCGGGAGGAGGCCGGUUUGUAACCUAUAAGGCCUCAUGAACCCAGUGGCUUCUCAGACCAAAAACCAGUAGCUGAUGGUGAAACCAACCUCCUAACUGGAAGACUCCACCAGCUGGAACGGUGUGACCAGUAGAGGACGAGCAGCUGAUGCUGACGGAGGCCCUGUUGAAGAAAACUUCCACCAGUCCACUGGAGGAUCUCCAGAGGAGACAAAAGGG
This is a non-coding RNA of Nothobranchius furzeri (turquoise killifish), 504 nucleotides long. The record is from RefSeq and is a predicted model, not a curated record. Lineage: Eukaryota; Metazoa; Chordata; Actinopteri; Cyprinodontiformes; Nothobranchiidae.